This 367-nucleotide ribosomal RNA is filed under the name Chelmon rostratus (copperband butterflyfish). RNAcentral's name for it is "partial 12S ribosomal RNA". It matches the Rfam family "Bacterial small subunit ribosomal RNA", at positions 801 to 1372 of the family's 1533-position model. The record is from RNAcentral. Lineage: Eukaryota; Metazoa; Chordata; Actinopteri; Chaetodontiformes; Chaetodontidae.
UAAACAUCGACAGUCCACCACGCCCACUGUCCGCCCGGGGACUACGAGCACCAGCUUAAAACCCAAAGGACUUGGCGGUGCUUUAGAUCCACCUAGAGGAGCCUGUCCUAGAACCGAUAAUCCCCGUUAAACCUCACCCCUCCUUGUUUCUCCCGCUUAUAUACCACCGUCGCCAGCUUACCCUGUGAAGGCCUAAUAGUAAGCAAAAUCGGCACAACCCAAAACGUCAGGUCGAGGUGUAGCGUAUGGAGGGGGAAGAGAUGGGCUACAUUCACUAAUGCAGUGAACACGAAUGGUCACUCUGAAAUGAGUAUCUGAAGGAGGAUUUAGCAGUAAGCAAAAAACAGAGUGUUUUGCUGAAGUUGGC